RNAcentral lists this ribosomal RNA (512 nucleotides) under Trichoderma koningiopsis. RNAcentral's name for it is "eukaryotic LSU rRNA". The stretch from base 196 to 349 matches the Rfam family "5.8S ribosomal RNA". Lineage: Eukaryota; Fungi; Ascomycota; Sordariomycetes; Hypocreales; Hypocreaceae. The record is from RNAcentral.
AGGGAUCAUUACCGAGUUUACAACUCCCAAACCCAAUGUGAACCAUACCAAACUGUUGCCUCGGCGGGGUCACGCCCCGGGUGCGUCGCAGCCCCGGAACCAGGCGCCCGCCGGAGGGACCAACCAAACUCUUUCUGUAGUCCCCUCGCGGACGUUAUUUCUUACAGCUCUGAGCAAAAAUUCAAAAUGAAUCAAAACUUUCAACAACGGAUCUCUUGGUUCUGGCAUCGAUGAAGAACGCAGCGAAAUGCGAUAAGUAAUGUGAAUUGCAGAAUUCAGUGAAUCAUCGAAUCUUUGAACGCACAUUGCGCCCGCCAGUAUUCUGGCGGGCAUGCCUGUCCGAGCGUCAUUUCAACCCUCGAACCCCUCCGGGGGGUCGGCGUUGGGGAUCGGGAACCCCUAAGACGGGAUCCCGGCCCCGAAAUACAGUAGGCGGUCUCGCCGCAGCCUCUCCUGCGCAGUAGUUUGCACAACUCGCACCGGGAGCGCGGCGCGUCCACGUCCGUAAAACA